Molecule: non-coding RNA, 706 nt
Organism: Camellia sinensis
Lineage: Eukaryota; Viridiplantae; Streptophyta; Magnoliopsida; Ericales; Theaceae
Source: RefSeq, a predicted model, not a curated record
CAGAGAGACGGGUUGCCUCACAGCUGCCGAACUGAGACCUUUCAGUAUCAAAUGCAGGCUUAGAAAAAUGCUGAUCACGAGAAAGCCUCUGGAGCAACAAGAGAAAUCUAUCCCUAUAUAAAGUGGCUUUGGCAGAAGCAUCACCAUGGAUUGGAAUCUUUCCUGUAUGCCUACAAUUCAAAAAAUAAAAAUGGCAUAACUAACACCACCUAGUCAAAUGUUUAAAUUAAUCAUUACAAUUGCAAGGCAGCAAGUCUGAUAUCUAGCUCCAUGUACAAAGAAGUUCCAAAACUCCACUAAUCCAAGUUCCAAAGAUCCCAAUAGAAAGAUAAAUUAGGAAUGUGGGUAACAAAAUUGUUUCCCAAUAGAAAAUCAAAUUUGGCUUGGAUUUGUCAAGAUUAUGCAAGAUCAAGUGUCUAUGAAGACUCUAGGUUGGACGCCGUAUCCUUAGUGCAACUUUAGGACGUACUUCAAGGAGCCCACUGUGGUCAAGCACCAGAUCAAUCGUAGCGGCGUCGACAAGAAACCAGUUUUUGUCAAGCCAACUGCUGUGCCUCAUUUCAAGGUUCCGAACUAUUGCAUGUCAGGGCUUAUUGGGUGAUUUAGAUUCACCCUUUUGACAUUGUGUUUAAGAGAUAAGAAUGUUUAUUGAGUUUUGUUAAUUGUUUUUGGCAAUGGGAUUUAAUUCCUUAGCUUGUGGUUUGUU